UUUGACCUCAAAUCAGGUAGGACUACCCGCUGAACUUAAGCAUAUCAAUAAGCGGAGGAAAAGAAACUAACAAGGAUUCCCCUAGUAACUGCGAUG
RNAcentral lists this ribosomal RNA (96 nucleotides) under Amanita fulva. RNAcentral describes it as "partial 28S ribosomal RNA". It matches the Rfam family "Eukaryotic large subunit ribosomal RNA", at positions 1 to 94 of the family's 3401-position model. The record is from RNAcentral. Lineage: Eukaryota; Fungi; Basidiomycota; Agaricomycetes; Agaricales; Amanitaceae.